GAUGAACGCUGGCGGCGUGCCUAAUACAUGCAAGUCGAACGGACAGACGAGGAUCUUGCUCCUCUCACGUUAGCGGCAGGCGGGUGAAUAACACGUGGAUCACCUACCUAUAAGACUGAGAUCACUUCGGAACACCGGCGCUAAUACCGGAUAAUAUAUUGCACCACGUGGUUCGAUGGUGAAAGACGGUGUUUCGGUCACUUAUAGAUGGAUCCGGGCCGUAUUAGCUAGUUGGUAAGUUAACGGCUUACCAAGGCGACGCUGCGUAGCCGACCUGAUAGGGGGAUAGGCCACCUUGGAACUGGGACACGGACCAGACUCCUACGGGAGGCAGCAGUAUGGAAUGUGACGCAAUGGGCGAAAGCCUGACGGAGCAACGGCGCGUGAGAUACGAAGGUCCCGGGAUCGGAAAACCCGGUUACUAGUUAAGAACCAAUGUGGAAUUAACCGUGGACGGCGUGACGGUACCGGAUAAGAAAGCAACGGCUAACUACGUG
This 497-nucleotide ribosomal RNA is filed under the name uncultured bacterium. RNAcentral's name for it is "partial 16S ribosomal RNA". It matches the Rfam family "Bacterial small subunit ribosomal RNA", at positions 28 to 507 of the family's 1533-position model. The record is from RNAcentral.